GUAGGCUGCUGUCUGACCUUGAAGAUUAGUCACACAAAAUAAACACUUGUCAAAGUUCAAGGGACAGAGUGAGCAUUAGUAAGAAGAAGUAAUGUGAAGUGAAGUGAAGUUGGUGUAAAUAAAUGCAAUUUUUAUUUUAUGUAUUAAAUUUGCUCUUCGAGGUUUUUUCAUAUCAAAGUAUUAAUAGAUAAACAAAUUCCGGGAAAACCUCGGGCUUCUAGUCCACAGAAACGAAACAAACACGCGAAACCUGCAAACGAGAUACGGAGGAAAAAAAGAAAAGUAAGCAAUAUUAACAAUGAGGAAGAGGGAAACAAUGUGGAAGAAAUACUAAACAUGUCUGUAGUUGAACGGUUAUCAAGCAGAGGCAAUACGUCUUCUUCGGAAUCAAAUAUCGUGCGUCGUUAUACCAAAGAAAGGAAGACAACGGUAAAUUGUUCAUAUCUGAUGAGGAAAGCCUUCCAGAUCUAAUAGUUGAAAACGUUCCUUCGUGUGCCCCUAUAUUAAAAGGAAACAGAAUCGUAGACAUAGAAGAUUUUGUAAAAGAAAUGAGAGUAGUCUACGAGCACCCAAACAUUUGCACACUAGGACGUUUUGAGCAGGUAGUAAACAUUUUAAUUAACUAUUUUUUUGCCAAAUUUGCAGAAAAAAGUUUUUGUAAGUGUUGGAAUCUCAGUUGUUUAGGCACCUAUCAAUAAACUACCGUUUUUUUGUUGUAAGUACAUCUAUCUGAAAAUUUUCAUGAUUAAAUGAUUAAAUAUACACUUUUACAAGCAAGCUUAUGUUUAUAUAUAUUUUUUUCUAAAUCACCGUCGCAUUUAAUCAGUUUUCUUGUAUUCUGAUUUCUAACUAAGACUUAGUUCUCGUAGCACAGCUGCCUUUUUGAUUGUUCUUCAAAAUGUGCUUCCUUUUUGUUUUUGGUGCUUCCGAAAUGUGCUGCUUUCUUGUUGAUGGUGCUUCCAAAUGUGCUGCCUUUUUGAUUGUGAUUCCAAAAUGUGCUGACUUUUUAAUGAUGGUGCUUCCAAAAUGUGCUGCCUUUUCGUUGACGGUGCUUCCAAAAUGUGCUACUAUUUUUAAUGUGCUUCCAAAAUGAGAUGCCUUUUUGUUUGUGCUUCUAAAAUGUAAUGCCUUUUUGAUUGUGCUUCCAAAAUGUGCUGACUUUUUAUAUGGUGCUUCCAAAAUGUGCUGCCUUUUUGUUGAUGGUGCUUCAUUUUUGUUGUUGGUGCUUCCAAAAUGUGCUGCAUUUUUGAUUGUGCUUUCAAAUGACCUACGUUUUUUAUGGGAUUCUUGGUCCUCUUGUAAGCAUAAACAUGUUACGUUAGUUUAAUUGAAAAUAAUAAGCUGUCGAUGAAGAAGGUCGUGAGGUUCUGAAAUGACUGGUCUAUACGUCUGACAUUUUUAAUGACCCGGUCUCGUGGUCCGAAGACGAUUGGUCUAUAUGUAUGUAUGGCUUUGUACAUGAACGUUUGAGAGGUUAUUCUAAGUAUCGAAAAACUAGACUUUCAUGUUAGGCUUAUCGGAAACGUAUUCAUUUCGUCGGACAUUGUCGUAUAUUGUAUUGAGUUGUUUUUCGUAGAGUGAAUGAUUGAUAAACUCCGCGAAAGGUAAUGGAAAACAGAAUAUAAAAUUUAUUUAAUAUUUAGUUACACUUUUCACUGGUCAAGAAGCAAACCAAGGACAGGAAUCCAUCGAUUCAAUAUGUAAAUUAAUGAGUGAAUUUUUUCGGUGUAUUUUGGAAUGUUUUCCCGAAUUUAUAGGUCAAUAAAUAUAAAUUUUCAAGAUAGCGGUCAUAAUAGCUUACUGGAGGCUGGUAGUAGAGGAUUUUAAGCCUCUUUUAGGAUUUUGAACGUGAUUUAUUGAAGAUAUUAUUUUUUUAUUUAAAAUUUUUUUUGCAUUGAUCAGGGAUUGAACUAAGAACAAGAUUCGAUAGUAUCAAUAAGUAUAUUAAUUGCAAAAUUAUUUAAUGAAUUUUUGAAUUUUUCUCGAAUUUCUAGCUAAAUAAUUACACGAUUCCAAGAUGGAGCCCAAAGGUCAAGAUGGCGGGUGCGACGAUAAUAAUAAAUAAUUAUAGCACUCUAGUGGGUAAGAAUUAAACUAACAUGAUAGAGGCAUAGUCUAGCGGACGGAAACAAGAUGCUGACUUCCAGCGGGCGAAGAGAUGAUGGCGGACAUGAUGUCGUACCAUCUGACGAUAUAUAUACUUUGACUUAAGUAGUGAGAGGUCAGUCUGAGGACGGCUUCUGUGGAAGGAUCUAUCGACUUUAUUAUUAUUAUUUUUUGCUCUUACUGGGUUCGAACCAGAGACAUAAAUGCGUUUUUAAAUAAUUUUAUUAAAUUUUUGUUAGUUAAUUUUUUUUAUGAAAUUAAUUUUUUUCCAUUAAAGUUGAAUGAUAAAUAAAGAUUUUCAAGAUGGCGACCAUAGCGAAAAUUGCAAUGUACUAGAAUCCAAUAUGCUAACCAUAACGAAAAGUGAAACGAUGACAUCAUAGUCAUCCAAGAUGACGGACAUAACGAAUCAAGCAAUGUUUCUGGAAUGCAAGAUGGCAUCCGUAACGUAAAUUGCAACAGUGACGACACAAUUAAAAACGACAGGUGUGGCGUAAAACAUUUUUGUUACUUUUUAUAUAUAAUUUUUUAAAUAUAUUAAUAAAUAACUGGUUUACUCUCGUCGGGAAUCGAACUGAGGACCGAAAACAAUUAAGUAACUAAACAUUUGUAGUAUGCUAUUUUUAAAAUAUUUUUUUUGGAAUUUUUUUGGAAUUAUUAGCAUUAAAAUUACGGAUUUUCAAGAUGGUGGCCGUAACGCGAAUUGCAACAGUUGUGACUUAAUACAAGAUGGCGGUUCUGUCUCGUAUAGGUGAUGCUAUUAUUACUUAAAAUUUUUGAAAAAAUUCUAAGUCCGAAUAUGCAUGUUAUUUUUAUAUAUACCUUAUUUAAUUAUCAGUCUGGUAAAUGUAUGUUUUCCAUCCUAGAGGUCAGAGCGGCGAUGGUUCGAAUCACAGUGCUUCCAAUGUAUUUUGCAUAAAAAAAUUAAUUUUAAUAUGUCGAUAAGGACCAUAAUAGCUCUGGUAGGUAAUGGAACAUCGACCUUAUGUGAUGAGACAGAGCGACGCUGGUGCUCUCUAGGAACCAACAGCAGAAACAGAGUCGACGGUAUCCAAGAUGGCGGCCUCCAGCGGAACAGAAAAAAAUCAAUAUGGCGGCCGUGAAGAAAAUUUCAUCAUGAGUGAGUGGGGCACUCGAUUUAAAGAUGGUGGAUACAAUAUGGCGGAUACAAUAUGGCUUCCGGGUCAAGGUCAAGGUCAAAGGUCAAAUCAAAGCCAUCCAAGAUGGCCGCCAUGACGUCACAAUCCAAAAUGGCGGUUCGGCUCAUCUGCUUCACAGCCUUAAAGCCUGCGCUCGGACAUACGAAAACAUGCUACUUAUAAUUUUGUUUUCUAAGUUUUUUAGACACAUAAGGAUAUCUAUUCCCAUUUUUAAAUUAUAAAUAACAAAUUAUAAUCAAGCAACUUUUUUAAUAAAGAUGUUAUUUUCAACACACAUUUAGGAUUUAUUGUUUUACGCCCCAGAAUUUAGUGAAUAUGUCACAACUGCAGGAAAAUCAAAAUGCGGACAGAGAUUUGCCAUCGCACUAUCUUGUGUUGCUCGUUAAAAAAAUGGUUCGCAUCUGAAUUGGCAUCACUUCCUUCUCAGCAAGACAUGUUUAUUUUUUGCGAACCUUCUUACGAAACACCAUUCUGAGUAAAUUCCGUAUGUCACAAUAGGAGGUUUCGCACAGGCUCCGAUGAAAUCUUUCCAUAAUACACGUAGCUGUGGAUGUUUUUUUUUGGCGUAACCUGUCACCGAAUACUUCACUCACUAGUCAAAAAUAUUCUUUUAUGCAACUUGCAAACUUAUUUAUUGCGGAAAUUAGUACUUUUAUAUAUUUACAAAUAUUUUUACAGAAUUUACAUGUUUUGCGGUAUUCAGAAUCGUUCUGAAUACUUAAAACGUUACCUUUUGUUACUAAGAGCAUCAACGAUCAUCUAACUGGCUAAAAUUUUUCCCUUGCAAGAAAUCUUCCUUAGGAAAUAGUGUACGACCAAAAUCAAUAACAUCCAUGAAAACGACCAAUGGACAACUGAAACAUGUACACAACAUUCCAUUAAAACGAUCAUAGAAACUUGCAAUGAAGAAUUCUUUCGUAGCAUACUCAGGAACGUGGCAACCUGCAAUACGUAUUCAAGAUGUAGUUUUGGACAUGAGCCAUUACUGAAUCGGACUUACCGAUUGCAAGAACCAUUCAAAGACCGCAAUGUGUAGCUGCUAAACCACCAGAAAGCACACCUAUGCGCUUUAAAAAUAAGCUCACAGAUAACCAUUUAUCUCUUGCGGACUGGAUAUCGCAAUGAACUCCAUAAUAAAAAUAAA
Molecule: long non-coding RNA, 4410 nt
Organism: Bacillus rossius redtenbacheri
Lineage: Eukaryota; Metazoa; Arthropoda; Insecta; Phasmatodea; Bacillidae
Exons: 2
Source: RefSeq, a predicted model, not a curated record